This 440-nucleotide ribosomal RNA is filed under the name uncultured bacterium. Its description in RNAcentral is "partial 16S ribosomal RNA". It matches the Rfam family "Bacterial small subunit ribosomal RNA", at positions 338 to 795 of the family's 1533-position model. The record is from RNAcentral.
CCUACGGGAGGCUGCAGUGGGGGAUAUUGCACAAUGGGGGAAACCCUGAUGCAGCGACGCCGCGUGAGUGAAGAAGUAUUUCGGUAUGUAAAGCUCUAUCAGCAGGGAAGAAAAUGACAGUACCUGACCAAGAAGCCCCGGCUAACUACGUGCCAGCAGCCGCGGCAAUACGUAGGGGGCAAGCGUUAGCCGGAUUUACUGGGUGUAAAGGGAGCGUAGACGGCGGUGUAAGUCUGGAGUGAAAGGCGGGGGCGCAACCCCGGGACUGCUUUGGAAACUGUGUAACUGGAGUAAAGGAGGGGCAAGCGGAAUUCCUGGUGUAGCGGUGAAAUGCGGAGAUAUCAGGAGGAACACCAGCGGCGAAGGCGGCCUACUGGACUGUAACUGACGUUGAGGCUCGAAAGCGUGGGGAGCAAACAGGAUUAGAUACCCCGGUAGUC